This 253-nucleotide ribosomal RNA is filed under the name uncultured bacterium. Its description in RNAcentral is "partial 16S ribosomal RNA". It matches the Rfam family "Bacterial small subunit ribosomal RNA", at positions 524 to 776 of the family's 1533-position model. The record is from RNAcentral.
UACGUAGGGGGCAAGCGUUAUCCGGAUUUACUGGGUGUAAAGGGAGCGUAGGCGGUGCAGCAAGUCAGAAGUGAAAGCCCGGGGCUCAACUCCGGGACUGCUUUUGAAACUGUCGAACUAGAUUGCAGGAGAGGUAAGUGGAAUUCCUAGUGUAGCGGUGAAAUGCGUAGAUAUUAGGAGGAACACCAGUGGCGAAGGCGGCUUACUGGACUGUAAAUGACGCUGAGGCUCGAAAGCGUGGGGAGCAAACAGG